RNAcentral lists this ribosomal RNA (381 nucleotides) under uncultured bacterium. RNAcentral's name for it is "bacterial SSU rRNA". It matches the Rfam family "Bacterial small subunit ribosomal RNA", at positions 28 to 413 of the family's 1533-position model. The record is from RNAcentral.
GACGAACGCUGGCGGCGUGCUUAACACAUGCAAGUCGAGCGGAAAGGCCCUUCGGGGUACUCGAGCGGCGAACGGGUGAGUAACACGUGAGUAACCUGCCCCAGGCUUUGGGAUAACCCUCGGAAACGGGGGCUAAUACCGAAUAUUCAUGCGCGGCGGCAUCGCUGGGUGUGGAAAGUUUUUCGGCUUGGGAUGGGCUCGCGGCCUAUCAGCUUGUUGGUGGGGUGAUGGCCUACCAAGGCGACGACGGGUAGCCGGCCUGAGAGGGCGACCGGCCACACCUGGGACUGAGACACGGCCCAGACUCCUACGGGAGGCAGCAGUGGGGAAUAUUGCACAAUGGGCGGAAGCCUGAUGCAGCGACGCCGCGUGGGGAUGAAG